AUACGUAGGUGGCAAGCGUUAUCCGGAAUUAUUGGGAGUAAAGAGUGAGCAGGCGGUUAAUUAAGUCUGCGGUUAAAGCGUGGGGCUCAACCCCAUAAAGACUUGGAAACUGAUUGUCUAGAGGACGGGCGAAGUGAAGGGAACUCCAUGUGUAGGGGUGAAAUGCGUAGAUAUAUGGAAGAACACCAGUGGCGAAGGCGCUUCACUAGCCCGAAACUGACGCUCAGUCACGAAAGCGUGGGUAGCAAAUAGGAUUAGAUACCCUAGUAGUCCACGCUGUAAACGAUGACAACUAAAUAUUGCCGCGAGGCAGUGUUGAAGCUAACGCAUUAAGUUGUCCGCCUGGGGAGUACGGUCGCAAGACUGAAACUUAAAGGAAUUGACGGGG
Molecule: ribosomal RNA, 388 nt
Filed under: uncultured bacterium
Lineage: Bacteria
Description: partial 16S ribosomal RNA
Rfam family: Bacterial small subunit ribosomal RNA
Source: RNAcentral